Molecule: long non-coding RNA, 863 nt
Organism: Chenopodium quinoa (quinoa)
Lineage: Eukaryota; Viridiplantae; Streptophyta; Magnoliopsida; Caryophyllales; Amaranthaceae
Exons: 2
Source: RefSeq, a predicted model, not a curated record
UUUUUUUUUUUUUUUUUUUUUUUUGCAGAGUAACACCUUAUCCCGAUCUCAAGGCUUUGACCCCAUUUUUCGGCGUUGACCAUUACAUGAGGGUCAUGUGUUCAUCCCCUCUCUCCUCAAAACCACCAAAACCUUGGCCUCCUAGCCAACCCCAGCCAUCAACACCACUACCUAGCAACCACUAGAACCACCUCUCAACCUCCGACACUAACACCACAACCUAUCAACCUAGUCGCCAUCUAAGCCUAAUCAAAUUACACUAAACCCACCAAAAAAAUCCCUUUUCUUUCUUUUCCCCUCCAAUUAGACUUUCUCACUCGUCUAAUCUUCCCAGAAACCCUUGAAUUUUUUUCAAUUAAAGGGGAAAACUCCAUUGUUUUGCCGAAUUGCAGCAAAGAACAACCCCAUUUAAUCUAAUUUCAAGCUGAUAGGUUUGCUUCUAAGGCCUUUCAUAAUAAUACAAGUGAUUCCUCUGCUCACUUGUCUUCAGCUUUGGUAGACAACUUUGGUAAGGUACCCUUCACAGCUCCGCAAGGUUUUAUGAAGUUCAUCUCAUGGAAUUGCCAAGGACUAAAUGACCAAAGUUCUCCGAAGCUUUCUUAUGUGUUUUGGUUACUACACUCUUUUGUUCCUAACCUUUUGUUUCUUUUUGAAACUAAAGUUCCAGUCUCAGUUGUGACUAGCUUACUUAGUAGUCCUUGUCCUACUACGGUUUUUGGGGUUGACUUGAAUGGUAGUAGUGGGGGUUUAGCGGUUUUUGGGUAUGGCACGAAAGAUGUUUCUUGCAUUUUUUGUUGUUCAAACGUUGUACUUUGUAAUAUAAAAGUAUCUAAUGAAAUAAGUAGAUGUGUGAUGUUAAUUUA